UGCCCGAUGGUGGCGGGACUGCAGCAAGCCACCACCCGGGCAGGAAGCCCGACGGGAGGCAUGCGCGGCCCUUGCCCGCCUCCUCCGCUCCGCAGUCCGCCCUCCGGUUCCUCACCCGCGCCGUGCCGGGAGAGGCCGCCCCUCCACCUGCGCUGCAGCUUCCGACCGGGAGGCGAUGGGCCAGGUCCUCCCACCCAGGCCCGACUUCCGGGCCCUCCUGGCAUGCCGGGAGACGGUCCCUUCGCGAGGAGGGGCUACCCAGGUAUUUUUGGCUUGGGGGUGUUAGUUUUUGUUAAAGGGGUAAAGUGAAAGUCCUCGGAAUUAGUUAAGUGCGACGGAUAUACUCGUCGGCCAGUCUGGACCCUGAGCGCAACUUGCAGCAGGUGUGGAGGAAACUAAGCCAUGGAGGCGGAAGGUGGCAGCAGGUGACAUUCACCCACUGAUGAGUGAGGGCUGCUCUUCCUGGGGCAAGGCGGAAACCAUUCCAGUUCACCCCAGAGGCUGGUGACUUCCGUCAUGGUGCCCUCUGGGAGGCUCCAGGAGAAUCUGAGCAGGAGGAGCUUUAGGUGUGAUGGAGCUGUUACUAGUUUUGCAUCUUCCAGGGAGGGGCUAACCCAAUCCCCAAACACCCCACUCCUGGAACAGCAGGGGUUCAUGGAAGACUGGCAUUGGAAACUCUCCAUAAAGCCAGGGCAGUCUCAGCAGAUGCAACCUUUGGAAACAACUUAGGUGAUGUAAAUUAAUUUCCAGGCAUUCCCAAGGAGAUCUAAAGAUAGCCACAGCUUUCCCAUUGCCAUGGUUGGCAAACAGCCUCUUGAAGUUCACUGUUUUCAUAAGCCUUGUGUCCAUAAAUCCCAUGACCACUUGCAGAAGAUGCUGGUUCCUCUCCUUUUGCUUGGCCUUUUCCAGCCUUCUGUUGCCUCUUUCUUCUGUGAGCUGGCCAGUGCCUCCCUUCUCUGUGUCUGCUUUGGUUUUUCUAUUUCCCUUACCUAAUCAAACCUACCUCUGCCCACUCUUCCAUUUCUCUAGAGCAGCAGGAGUUGGGAGAAAGCUGAAGCAAACCAAGGCAAAAUCAAGCAGCAAAGGAGGUUAAAAUGUGAAUGCGUUUGAUUUAGAGCUCAACUUUGGCAUGCCCAGGCUGUCUCUAGUGGAUGAGCCAGGCUCCCAGUAGACCAGGCCCUGAGCCUCACCAGGCCACCUAAAGCAGCUCCUCCAAAGUUCAGCCCUGCAGCCACACAGGCUGCACUCCAAUAGACUGAGACAGAGAAAACAAUGCCCACACCAUUCUCCCUCCAAAAAUCUCAAGUAUUUGACCCUGAUUCUGUAUGUUCCUAAAGUCAUUUUUCUUUUAUCAAAAACUGAGAAACGUGACAAAAGGUACAGAAAGGAUAAUGUCUAGGUUGUGGCCUUGGAUAUUCUACCCAGUUUCUUCCCAUCCCUCUUAACCUUCAAACCUGUCACAGUCACAUAAUCUAUGACUCAAACUAUUAUUUAACCAUGAAAAAAGACAAACCAGGAAAUUAGAGGCUGAAUGACCUAAACUUUAUUCCAUUCAACUGAGCUAAUCUCCUCAAAAGGGUGUGUAUAAUAAAUCAUACUAUAUCUGUUCUGGAAGAUGUGAACAUUGAAGGGAAAAACGCAUGGUGACUACAGAUCCCAACUUGUUGAGAUUUGUCCUCAAAAGGGUAAGUGCCUGGUUGUAAGCCAAGUUGCCUAGCAGUUUGCUAAAUUAGCCUUAACAUUUGGGAACCAAUAUGUUGCAAUGGAGAGCACCCGAUGUUUAGGCUGACCACAUUCAUAUCCUGGCACUGUCGCUGCUUAGGCAAGCAAGGGACUUACCUGCCCUCCCUAAGUCUCCUCCACUGUGAAAUGGCAGUGACAGCAAUACCCAUCUCCUGGGGCCACUGUGAGGACAGAUGAGCAAAGUGCUUGGCACAUGUGAGCAACGCCCCCUCCCUAAAAGCACCCCCAGUCAACUUGCUGUAUGGUAAGCAGCAAAUUGGCAAGACCAAGAAGAAGGCUGGAGGCCCCACAAAGUGGGGUUCCACGGAGUCACUGGAACACAGUCAAGUAUCCCGAGCAAGAGAGAGAAGAGGAUCCCAGAGGAGGCAGCUGGCGGGUGGAGCACUGCAGGGAGAGCCAAGGACAGCCACUCACAGCGGGGGUGGGAGGACGCAGGGGGCUCUGCUCCAGUCCUCCCGCAUUAGCGCAACGCGGCUGCAUCCCCACCCUCACAUGUGUUCAUCCUUACGUGAAACUCAGCACAUACUGACCUCACACCCACGAUGUGCAUGGCUCUGGCGGGUGGCGUGCUGUAGCAGGAGUGAACGUAAGAAGUGAUCACAUUGGCAUCAGAGACUUAACAAACCAGGCAUUUCUGCCCAGAUUCAGAAACCUAUCUUUUCAGGAGCUAGAUAGAUUGUAAGGAUAUGACCAAAUACUGAAAAAAAUCUUAUUUCAGGAUCGGUUUUUUCUUCUUUAAGUAGAAAGGCAAAGAGUUAAAAAAAUGUUCUGGAAAUGUCAACAUCAACUGAAUCUUGGUACUAUUUAGGGGGCAUUAUUUCAUUUUUAGGUGAAAUAAGGACAAGGUGGUUAAGUUGAAUGAGUCCAUUUUUUUAGAGAUGCAUACCGAAACACUGCCAGAUGAUAUGAGCUGAUGUAUAGGGUUUACCUCAGUAUUAUAUGGGAGAUGGGGAGGCAGAUGGUGGUAAAAAUAGACAAGUAUGGCCCGGUGGUGGUGAGGUUGGUGAUGGGGCACAUGGGGGGUUCAUCAUACUCCUCUGUCUCCUUCUGUAUAUGUCUGAAAUUUUCCAUCAUAAAUGUUUUAAAUUCCUAAAAGCUGAAAAAAAUUUUUACUGAGGAAUUUCUUGUCUUAUUGGUUCUUGCAACCUGUUGUUUACUU
Molecule: long non-coding RNA, 2902 nt
Organism: Manis pentadactyla (Chinese pangolin)
Lineage: Eukaryota; Metazoa; Chordata; Mammalia; Pholidota; Manidae
Exons: 3
Source: RefSeq, a predicted model, not a curated record